GACGAACGCUGGCGGCGUGCUUAACACAUGCAAGUCGAACGGAAAGGCCCUGCUUUUGUGGGGUGCUCGAGUGGCGAACGGGUGAGUAACACGUGAGUAACCUGCCCUUGACUUUGGGAUAACUUCAGGAAACUGGGGCUAAUACCGGAUAGGAGCUCCUGCUGCAUGGUGGGGGUUGGAAAGUUUCGGCGGUUGGGGAUGGACUCGCGGCUUAUCAGCUUGUUGGUGGGGUAGUGGCUUACCAAGGCUUUGACGGGUAGCCGGCCUGAGAGGGUGACCGGCCACAUGAGGACUGAGAGACGGCCCAGACUCCUACGGGAGGCAGCAGUGGGGAAUAUUGCACAAUGGGCGGAAGCCUGAUGCAGCAACGCCGCGUGCGGGAUGACGGCCUUCGGGUUGUAAACCGCUUUCGCCUGUGACGAAGCGUGAGUGACGGUAAUGGGUAAAGAAGCACCGGCUAACUACGUG
RNAcentral lists this ribosomal RNA (468 nucleotides) under uncultured bacterium. RNAcentral describes it as "partial 16S ribosomal RNA". It matches the Rfam family "Bacterial small subunit ribosomal RNA", at positions 28 to 507 of the family's 1533-position model. The record is from RNAcentral.